AAUCUGCCUUGGGGUCGGGGACAACCACUGGAAACGGUGGCUAAUACCGGAUAAGCCUUUGGGUAAAAAAUUUAUUGCCCCAAGAGGAGCUCGCGUCUGAUUAGCUAGUUGGUGAGGUAAAAGCUCACCAAGGCAGCGAUCAGUAGCUGGUCUGAGAGGACGAUCAGCCACACUGGGACUGAGACACGGCCCAGACUCCUACGGGAGGCAGCAGUGGGGAAUUUUCCGCAAUGGGCGAAAGCCUGACGGAGCAAGACCGCGUGAGGGAGGAAGGCUCUUGGGUUGUAAACCUCUUUUCUCAGGGAAGAAGCUCUGACGGUACCUGAGGAAUCAGCCUCGGCUAACUCCGUGCCAGCAGCCGCGGUAAUACGGAGGAGGCAAGCGUUAUCCGGAAUUAUUGGGCGUAAAGCGUCCGCAGGUGGCGAUUCAAGUCUGCUGUCAAAGCACGGGGCUUAACUCCGUUAAGGCAGUGGAAACUGAAUAGCUAGAGUGCCGUAGGGGUAGAGGGAAUUCCCGGUGUAGCGGUGAAAUGCGUAGAGAUCGGGAAGAACAUCGGUGGCGAAAGCGCUCUACUGGACGGCAACUGACACUCAGGGACGAAAGCUAGGGGAGCGAAUGGGAUUAGAUACCCCAGUAGUCCUAGCUGUAAACGAUGGAUACUAGGUGUAGCUUGUAUCGACCCGAGCUGUGCCGAAGCUAACGCGUUAAGUAUCCCGGCCUGGGGAGUACGCACGCAAGUGUGAAACUGCAAAGGGAAUUGACGGGGGCCCGCACAACGUGGAGUAUUGUUAAUUGAUGCAACGCGAAGAACCUUACCAGGGCUUGACAUGUCCGGAAUCCCGGUGAAAGCUGGGAGUGCCUUCGGGAGCCGGAACACAGGUGGUGCAUGGCUGUCGUCAGCUCGUGUCGUGAG
RNAcentral lists this ribosomal RNA (913 nucleotides) under uncultured organism. Its description in RNAcentral is "bacterial SSU rRNA". It matches the Rfam family "Bacterial small subunit ribosomal RNA", at positions 123 to 1071 of the family's 1533-position model. The record is from RNAcentral.